UCGCUGCCCUCCUCCACCACCCACGUGUCCCUCACCUCCGGCGCCGCCUGUGCCGCCGCGAUGCCAGCUCAGAUGCCAGCUCAGAUGCCAGCUCAGAUGCCAGCUCAGGAGUGACGUCCCGGAGCCCCGGUCCGGACUGAGCCCCGGGGGGCCGAGGGAGGGCCCCGCUCGUCCUUGUCUGCAGCUGCUUUGUGUGCGUGUGUUUGUGAGACACGAACGGCCCGGCGGGGGACCCGCCCCUUCCCUCCCUCCCUCCCUCCCCGUGCCCCUCCCCGUGCCCCUCCCCGGCCCGGAUCUGUCACUUUAUUUAUUUAACCUAUUUAUUUAUGGAGUGGUUGAUGGCGGAGGCAGGAGACGCGCUCGGACUGUUGGACGUGCAGGGCUGGCCCUGGGCACUGUGCUGACCCCCGGGUUUGCCCAGCUCCCAGCCCUGCCCACGCUGCCCAGCACAGGGCUGGGCACGGCCAGGACACGCUCACCAGCCAGGAGGGGCACGGGACCCUCUCCGGGGGCUUUGGCGGGAGCUGGUGCUGCCUUUGCUGUGCUGGAUUCCCGGGAAUUCGGAGAUUCCUCCGCGGGUUUGGAGACUCGGUGGUGGCAGCACCUUGUCAGAGUCCCCCAGUGGGACUCCCCAGCCUGUGCCAACGCCGGGGGCAGCAGGGACAUCUCACGGACACGGGCAUGGCCGUCACUCCAGGAGCACCAGCUCCAUCCACAGGGAUCACGGAGUCACCAAAGUCAACCAAAGCCAAGGGCUUUGUCCACCUGUGCCACGCUCUGGAGACACUCUGGAGGCAGCCCCGGCCCGUCGAGGUGCCUGACACCAUCUCCCGUCCCUGGGCUGGGACUCCUGACAGCAGCAACAAGAGGUGGAACUUUCCAGCCCCUUCCAUCCGCCCAUCCCAAAGGCAGGCAGCGUGGGGAGAACAGAGCUGUGGGAUGGGAGUGGCUCCCUCCUGCAGCUGAAGGCAAUGGAGAAACGUGGGACAAGGUGGUGACGCCCAGGGGAGGGAGGUCAUCGCUCCCCUCCGGGCUGGGCAAUGCCACAGGGAGGUCACUUCUGAGCUGGGGGAGAUUUCCAAGCGGG
Molecule: long non-coding RNA, 1087 nt
Filed under: Lepidothrix coronata (blue-crowned manakin)
Lineage: Eukaryota; Metazoa; Chordata; Aves; Passeriformes; Pipridae
Description: lncRNA (ENSLCOG00000002705.1)
Source: RNAcentral